This 478-nucleotide unclassified non-coding RNA is filed under the name rhizosphere metagenome. RNAcentral describes it as "partial ribosomal RNA internal transcribed spacer region". The record is from RNAcentral.
GUAGGUGAACCUGCGGAAGGAUCAUUAACACGUAUCCAACGUAUCCAACCCCGUGGUCCUGUGCGCGGCGAUAUAUGUGAGUAAAGUAACAAUCCGGCACCGUUCAACCUACGCGGUUGAAGGUGUACCAAAUAUCCAAAGUCAUCUCAGAAGAAGUACUUGAAAGUUGCGGUAGGGGCUAGUCCACGAGACCGACCUACCGAUAUGUGCCUGAAACCAGGGACCGCCUGCGGUAUCUGUGCUGGUCCACGAGACUGACAUACCGUUGAGCGUUGAAGUGGUGGUGGUAGCUAGCUGGAAUGAUGGCUUUGGGUAGACUGGGAGUACUAAGUCUUCUACGAGAAGGCAGCUUCAUAUAGACGACGUUUUAACCAAACCCUUAACUUAAUUGACUAAUACUGAAGUAAGUAUGGCGCGCCCUGCUUUAUUUCGACAUACGAAACCGUAACAACUCUUAACAACGGAUAUCUUGGUUCUC